Molecule: ribosomal RNA, 270 nt
Filed under: uncultured Acholeplasma sp.
Lineage: Bacteria; Bacillati; Mycoplasmatota; Mollicutes; Acholeplasmatales; Acholeplasmataceae
Description: partial 16S ribosomal RNA
Rfam family: Bacterial small subunit ribosomal RNA
Source: RNAcentral
GUUACCAUCAUUAAGUUUGGGGACGUCUAGCGAGACUGCCAGUGAUAAACUGGAGGAAGGUGGGGGAUGACGUCAAAUCAUCAUGCCCCUUAUGACCUGGGCUACAAACGUGAUACAAUGGCUGGAACAAAGGGAUGCGAAGCAGUGAUGUGGAGCGAAACCCAUAAAAACAGUCUCAGUUCGGAUUGAAGUCCGCAACUCGACUUCAUGAAGUCGGAAUCGCUAGUAAUCGCGGAUCAGAACGCCGCGGUGAAUACGUUCUCGGGGUUU